This 216-nucleotide long non-coding RNA is filed under the name Volvox carteri. RNAcentral's name for it is "long non-coding RNA (VCAR_LNC003765)". Lineage: Eukaryota; Viridiplantae; Chlorophyta; Chlorophyceae; Chlamydomonadales; Volvocaceae. The record is from RNAcentral.
GGGGGCCGCAGGGGAGGACGGCGUUGGGCUAGGCGGGGCCGCAGGGGAGGACGGCGUUAGGCUAGGGGGCCGCAGGGGAGGACGGCGUUAGGCUAGGGGGCUGCAGGGGAGGACGGCGUUACGCUAGGCGGGGCCGCAGGGGAGGACGGCGUUGGGCUGGGGGGCCGCAGGGGAGGACGGCGUUAGGCUAGGCGGGGCCGCAGGACAGGACGGCGU